UCUGAUGUGCCUCAACCGGCAGAGCACCCGACUGUUAAUCGGGAAGACCCAGGUCCCCCCUGGCAUCAGAG
This 71-nucleotide transfer RNA is filed under the name Dermabacter vaginalis. RNAcentral's name for it is "tRNA-Asn". It matches the Rfam family "tRNA". Rfam says of the family: Transfer RNA (tRNA) molecules are approximately 80 nucleotides in length. Their secondary structure includes four short double-helical elements and three loops (D, anti-codon, and T loops). Lineage: Bacteria; Bacillati; Actinomycetota; Actinomycetes; Micrococcales; Dermabacteraceae. The record is from RNAcentral.